CCAGCACCUGCGGUAAUUCCAGCUCCAAUAGCGUAUAUUAAAGUUGUUGCAGUUAAAAAGCUCGUAGUUGAACUUUGGGCCUGGGCGGGCGGUCUACCUAUGGUGAGUACUGCUGCGGCCGGGUCUUUCCUUCUGGCUAGCCCUUGUGGCGAACCAGGACGAUUACUUUGAGGAAAUUAGAGUGUUCAAAGCAGGCCUUUGCUCGGAUAUAUUAGCAUGGAAUAAUAGAAUAGGACGUAUGGUUCUAUUUUGUUGGUUUCUAGGACCAUCGUAAUGAUUAAUAGGGACGGUCGGGGGCAUCAGUAUUCAGUUGUCAGAGGUGAAAUUCUUGGAUUAACUGAAGACUAACU
Molecule: ribosomal RNA, 350 nt
Filed under: uncultured eukaryote
Lineage: Eukaryota
Description: SSU rRNA
Rfam family: Eukaryotic small subunit ribosomal RNA
Source: RNAcentral